AAUGAAGUGCCUGAGAAAAAGGGUUAUUUUGAUAGAAUAAAUCACGUAGUUAUCUACCUUCAUUA
This 65-nucleotide transfer RNA is filed under the name Melanotus cribricollis. RNAcentral's name for it is "tRNA-Ile". Lineage: Eukaryota; Metazoa; Arthropoda; Insecta; Coleoptera; Elateridae. The record is from RNAcentral.